Molecule: ribosomal RNA, 407 nt
Filed under: uncultured bacterium
Lineage: Bacteria
Description: partial 16S ribosomal RNA
Rfam family: Bacterial small subunit ribosomal RNA
Source: RNAcentral
AUUGAACGCUGGCGGCAGGCCUAACACAUGCAAGUCGCGCGGAGCGGCGGACGGGUGAGUAAUGCCUAGGAAUCUGCCUGGUCGUGGGGGAUAACGUCCGGAAACGGGCGCUAAUACCGCAUACUAUCAGAUCAGCCUAGGUCGGAGUGGCUAGUUGGUGGGGUAAAGGCCUACCAAGGCGACGAUCUCUAGCUGGUCUGAGAGGAUGAUCAGCCACACUGGGACUGAGACACGGCGCAGACUCCUACGGGAGGCAGCAGUGGGGAAUAUUGCACAAUGGGCGCAAGCCUGAUGCAGCCAUGCCGCGUGUAUGAAGAAGGCCUUAGGGUUGUAAAGUACUUUCAGCGGGGAGGCGUUACCCGCAGAAGAAGCACCGGCUAACGCCGUGCCAGCAGCCGCGGUAAUAC